Molecule: long non-coding RNA, 257 nt
Organism: Alligator sinensis (Chinese alligator)
Lineage: Eukaryota; Metazoa; Chordata; Crocodylia; Alligatoridae
Exons: 3
Source: RefSeq, a predicted model, not a curated record
GAGGAUGUGGAGAAGGGUGAAUAUGAGGGGCUGGAGAAUGCAAAGGAUACUUAGAGAAUGGUGUGGUUGUCUGGAAUUUUCCAAAGCCUGAUGCCUAACUGUCCUACUGAAGCUAAUAACUUCAAGAUGAGCCCAGAGAACUCCUUUUUCUUACAAAUGUCCUUGGACACUAUGUGACAGAUGACAGAGUACAACAGAAUAGAGACAGUUGAUCCAAUCUGAGAGGGGCUACAGCUUUUGGUCAUAUGAGGCAUGUA